Molecule: ribosomal RNA, 368 nt
Filed under: Cryptocercus zagunaoensis
Lineage: Eukaryota; Metazoa; Arthropoda; Insecta; Blattodea; Cryptocercidae
Also listed under: 1 other name
Description: partial 16S ribosomal RNA
Source: RNAcentral
CUCUUCUUGAAUAUAAUUUGAUGUAUGGCCUGCCCACUGAAUAUUGAAGGGCCGCGGUAUUUUGACCGUGCAAAGGUAGCAUAAUCAUUAGUCUUUUAAUUGUGGACUGGAAUGAAUGGUUUGACGAGGUGUUAACUGUCUUUAAUUUUUUUUAUUGAAUUUAAAUUUUAGGUUAAAAUGCCUAAAUGUUUUUUUGGGACGAGAAGACCCUAUAGAGUUUUAUAUAUUUUUAUUUUUUUGUAUGUUAAAUUUUAAUUUAAAAAUUUAUUUUGUUGGGGUGAUGGGAAGAUUAAAUUAACUCUUUUUGUUUUUAUAUAUUUAUUUAUACAUAUUUGAUCCAUUUUUAUUGAUUAUAAGACUAAAUUACC